This 253-nucleotide ribosomal RNA is filed under the name uncultured bacterium. Its description in RNAcentral is "partial 16S ribosomal RNA". It matches the Rfam family "Bacterial small subunit ribosomal RNA", at positions 524 to 776 of the family's 1533-position model. The record is from RNAcentral.
UACAGAGGUCCCAAGCGUUGUUCGGAUUCACUGGGCGUAAAGGGUGCGUAGGUGGCCGGGUAAGUCUGACGUGAAAUCUCCAAGCUCAACUUGGAAACUGCAUCGGAUACUAUCCGGCUCGAGGAUCGGAGGGGAGACUGGAAUACUUGGUGUAGCAGUGAAAUGCGUAGAUAUCAAGUGGAACACCAGUGGCGAAGGCGAGUCUCUGGACGAUUCCUGACACUGAGGCACGAAAGCCAGGGGAGCAAACGGG